UCUACGGGAGGCAGCAGUGAGGAAUAUUGGUCAAUGGACGCAAGUCUGAACCAGCCAUGUCGCGUGAAGGAAGACGGCUCUAUGAGUUGUAAACUGCUUUUGUACGAGGGUAAACGGAGAUACGUGUACCUGUCUGAAAGUAUCGUAUGAAUAAGGAUCGGCUAACUCCGUGCCAGCAGCCGCGGUAAUACGGAGGAUUCAAGCGUUAUCCGGAUUUAUUGGGUUUAAAGGGAGCGUAGGUGGUUUGUUAAGUUAGAGGUGAAAGCAUGCGGCUCAACUGUAAAAUUGCCAUUGAUACUGGUCGUCUAGAGUACAGUUGCGGUAGGCGGAAUGUGUGGUGUAGCGGUGAAAUGCGUAGAGAUCACAAAGAACACCGAUUGCGAAGGCAGCUUACUAAACUGCUUCUGACAUUGAGGCACGAAAGCGUGGGGAGCAAACAGGAUUAGAUACCCCAGUAGUC
RNAcentral lists this ribosomal RNA (460 nucleotides) under uncultured bacterium. Its description in RNAcentral is "partial 16S ribosomal RNA". It matches the Rfam family "Bacterial small subunit ribosomal RNA", at positions 338 to 795 of the family's 1533-position model. The record is from RNAcentral.